ACGGAGGGUGCUAGCGUUGUUCGGAUUUACUGGGCGUAAAGGGUACGUAGGCUGUUUAUCAAGUUGGAAGUGAAAUCCCGGGGCUCAACCCCGGAACUGCUUUCAAAACUGGUAGGCUAGAGUUAAGUAGAGGAUAGUGGAAUUCCCAGUGUAGAGGUGAAAUUCGUAGAUAUUGGGAGGAACACCAGAAGCGAAGGCGACUAUCUGGGCUUAUACUGACGCUAAGGUACGAAAGUGUGGGGAGCAAACAGG
This 252-nucleotide ribosomal RNA is filed under the name uncultured bacterium. Its description in RNAcentral is "partial 16S ribosomal RNA". It matches the Rfam family "Bacterial small subunit ribosomal RNA", at positions 525 to 776 of the family's 1533-position model. The record is from RNAcentral.